This 1427-nucleotide long non-coding RNA is filed under the name Fukomys damarensis (Damara mole-rat). Its description in RNAcentral is "lncRNA (ENSFDAG00000028684.1)". Lineage: Eukaryota; Metazoa; Chordata; Mammalia; Rodentia; Bathyergidae. The record is from RNAcentral.
CAAUCACACCUUCUCAUCAAAGAAGGAGAUGUUUCUUCAGCAUUCCUGAGAGAUGCUCAUCUGGUCACUUUGGGAAUAUUUUUUGGCGGUUACUUGGAUUUAAUUAUUAUACUCUGCCAGUCUGUAAAUUCUACCUAUGUAUUAGUUGUCUACUACUCUAAACAUUUGAUCGACAUUCAUUCAUUACUUAUAACAACCUUAAGAUAUACAUUCUGUCACCCCCCAUUUUAUAGAUAAGGAGACCAAAGCACAGAAAGCAGAAAUGCCUAAGGCCAGUCCUUACACAUUAUGACAGAAACCUGUAUCGGCUUGAUCUCGGUCAUCAUUUUUUGGCUCCAGUGUAACUCCAGGCAAGGGGAAAGGUCGAAUUUCGUACCAGGAAGGAGAAGCCAGUUGCUUCCAACAUGGUGUCAUGAGGUCGUUCCUCUAGAAAAGGCUCACCAAUCAAAAGUAUUCCAGGUCCUUCUGGCUUCGAACAAAGGAUGGACACGACAGGCCACAAAUGACGCCAAACGUUUAUUUGAAAAGUUCGAGGUAAACGGGUAUGAGGGAAAUCAGCUCUGUAGAUUGAGCGAGGGCCAAAUAAAGAGGAAAAGAGGGUAAAGCAAAAAUAAAAGUGAGACGCAGCCCAGGCUAUCAUACAAACCCAUGCACAAUAGCAGAUCCCUGGGUAGCAGUCUUCUUUUAUGCUGCACACAUCUCGUGGGGACUCGUGAGAAGUUCUACAUAGGAGGUCCUGGAGUUGCCUUGAAUUGUUUUUCUUUAAAUAAGUUUUAUUUGAUUUUAUCCCUUUCCCCUGCCUUGGAUCUUGCAAUUCACAGGCCCCGCUUAUUUCCUCCAGCCAGCUUUGCCACACCCUAUCUCCUAUAUCAGUGGGAUGGUGGGAAGGAAUCGGAGUGCGGUGAGAGGAAGUAGUCAUCAGAUGAGCUUGCCUUCCGUCCCUUCCUCUCCGAGCAGAAAUCUGAAAUGUAUUCAUGGGGGUCCGUAGGUUGAAAGGGACGUCUUACUCCAUUCAGGCUGCUGUAACAACUUGCCACUGACUAGGUGCCAAAUAGGAUUUUUCUCAUGGUUCUGAAAGCUUGGGACUCCAGGAUCAAAGCGGCGACAGAUUUUGCUGUCUUGUGAAGUCUCAUUUCCCAUAGUGGAUUCACCAUCUCAUUGUAAGAAGAUGCGAGGGGAUGGGAGGACAUCUGUCUUGUGCCUCUUUCAAUAAGAGCUGAUAACAUUCAGGGGGCUUCACACUCAAAACCAAGAACCUCCCAAAGGCACCGUAUCUUAAUGCCAUCGCCUUGACAGUUAGGAUUCCAGUUUAUAAAUUUCGAGGGACUAGAAUGCAAAUGACAAAAACAGGCCCUCUUACCCAACUUGACCUUUAGGCAUGCAGUUACCGCUGAAGAUGGGCCCCUUGUUCUUGAUUUUCAUCUGAU